GCUUUUUCUUCCCAAACAAACCCUACAUUACCUUUUCCGUUAUUUAUACAGAGAAGAAAAGAAGAAACGGCGGCUACAAAUGAUGAAGAAAUGGAGUCUCUGCUUCGCACCUUCGAUCAUAUAUACGAUGAUGUGAAGAAUGGAAUCACACAGAUUCAAUCCUUGCAAUCAAAUUGCAACGCCGAAGUUAAUAAUGGACAAGUUCUUCAACUCAUUUCCAAUAGCCUCAAACCAGCUUGAACGUCGGACCAAUUGCCAGAGCUUGAAAGAAGAAUUGGUGAGAAUGAGAAUUGAAUAUCUUUGGAAGGAAACUUCGAUGGUGUGCGAAAGUAAAAGGACAAAGGAGAAGGAAAGGGACAACGAGGAAUUCGAGGUUACUUGUUUUUUCUAAUGGUAUGUUUUUAAAUCAUGGUAAACAACUGAUUGUCUAUUUAAUGUAUUCUUGAACUUACUAACCAUUACAUAACCAUAUCAUGUAAUUAUUCUACGUUGAGCAUGUGACACUUGUUGUAGAUUUAGUCCAUUUACAAGUAGACAAGCACCUCGUUUAGUACAUUGGACAUAUGAGGUGAUUAAAAAGAGAAUCUCCCUGUUGGAAAAAUUUCAAUACCAAAACAACAAGAAGGUUAGUUUUAUCGUUGAAGAUAAUGAUGUGAGUGUAGAGGCAAACAUGGAUGCACGGCUAAGUAAUGUUGAAAAAGAAGUGAGAGAUUUGAGAGGAGACUUGAAUAACUUAGUUGUUGGUGUCAGUCAAUGAAUAGAAUCUACAAAAGAGGAGAUUUUGAUAGCAAUUUCAACAGUUAGCUAAUGGGCCAUUGAGAAGGAGAAACACUCUCAUGAUAUUGAUCGUCAGUUGGAAAAGGAAGAUAUCUUUAAUAAUAGAUGAAGUCCCCCACCUUAUGCUUUUCCAAGAUCGUAAGUUUCUUAUGGAUAAACAACUCAAAGAAGAAAAUGAGGGAUUGCUUAAGAUUCCAUUAUGUGAUCAGUUCACAUGGUUUGUAUUUCUGUUUGCCCCUCUUUUUAGUGAACAUGAGCUACUAUCACCAAAGUUACCAAAAGUGAUUUUAAAAUGGUCAAUUCUGGUAGAAUGAUGGUGCCCAGUCUUCAACAGUUUUGCCUUAUCAUAUGAAAGCUUAGGAGGGAAAGCUAAUGAAAAAAAAGAGCAAACAUAUACUUUCACUAUAUGAUGUUGAACUUGACAAGAAAUAUAAUAUAACAAGCAAACAACUUGACAUAUUGCCCAAAUAUGGACAAAAGGUAAUAAAUAAUAUUUGUACACUUAAUAUUUUUUGAGGAAUAAUUCAUUAGAAAUGAACUUAGUCACUGACUUAUUUAUGUUAUACAGGAAGCUACCUUGAAAAAUAAACAAGUUGUGUUUACUGAACAACAUUUGAAAAAUGUAUACUUAUGUUUUCCUAUAGAAACUCAUUUUUAGGAGAAUAAUCAAUUACAUACUUUAUGAAAAUGUUUUUAAUUAUUGGAUAAAAAUAGAUUCUUAAGUUAUUGAGUAUGCCGACUCCCAUGAAACAAUUUCAUUUGCCACCGCUUUCAGUUGAGGAUAAAUUGAUAAAAGACUAUUUGUUUCAUCGUAGUAAAUUGGAAAUGUUUUAUUUCUUUUACGAAAUAUUUUGUUUUAUGUUUUAUGUAUUUGUAUUGUCACAUUGACAUGUAUCACUUAAUUAAUAUGACAGUGAAAUUCUUAUUCACUUUGAUAUUCAACAUGGAACGCACAAGAACAUAUGGACAUUAGAUUGUGGUUGUUGGCUUGAUGGAUAAGUAGUAAACCGUUGUACAAAUGAAUUUAUAAUGUUUAAGAUAAUUGUAUUUAUUGAUGAGUUGUUGUUUCUUAGAUAAUCACUUUAGUUGCUUUGCAAUUUACAUUAAAGCAAAAGAAUUGUAUCCCAGAUGCAAAAUAUCCAACGUGGUAUCUAUCUACAUAUUUUUUGGUAAUUUAUUUAUGCAUUUUAUAAUUGAAAGCACUUGACUAUGUAACAUGUCAUGUUUAUCUAUAGUAAGCUUGUGUUAUUGAUAUUUAUUCUAAUUUUUAUGAGUUGUGGUAACAUAUUUUGCACCACAAGGUUUAUAAGCUAAACGUGCUCAAGUCCUAUUUUGGAUAGGAAAACGGUAUAUGGAAAAAAUUAAAUCAUGUAAAAGGGUAUUGAGUUGUUAUUAUUUCACUUUAUUUUCGUUUAAUAUGUUAAUGAAUAAGAUACCAAUGAUUACUGAUUUAAUAUAGGUGUACAUUCCAAUUAAUGAUGCGGGUAAACAUUGGUAUGUGUGUGUGGUAUACAUGCAACAAGAAGUGCUAUAUGUUCUUGAUCCAUAUAUAUCAAGAAGAAGUAGAACUUAGCCAACUCAAGGGAAAAAAGUGAUAUACGUCCUUAUACAAUAUUGUUAUUUGCAUUUUGCAUUGCAUGUUUUCGUAUUAAUUAGUUAUGUAAAUGAUGGGUUGAAGUAUUACAUGACUUAUUGGGAAUUCAGUACAAGAAUGCCUAUACAAAUAAAAUCACCGAGUUUCUAGUUAGAACACUUGAAUGGCUUCCACAACAAUGUAAUGGCUAUGAUUAUGGAAUGCAUAUCAUCAAGUAUUUUGAAUUGGUACAAUUUAUUGAUUCCGAAGUUUGU
This is an RNA transcript of Camellia sinensis, 2625 nucleotides long. RefSeq lists it as uncharacterized. Lineage: Eukaryota; Viridiplantae; Streptophyta; Magnoliopsida; Ericales; Theaceae. The record is from RefSeq and is a predicted model, not a curated record.